RNAcentral lists this transfer RNA (74 nucleotides) under Chrysochromulina ericina virus. It matches the Rfam family "tRNA". Rfam says of the family: Transfer RNA (tRNA) molecules are approximately 80 nucleotides in length. Their secondary structure includes four short double-helical elements and three loops (D, anti-codon, and T loops). The record is from Rfam by way of RNAcentral. Lineage: Varidnaviria; Bamfordvirae; Nucleocytoviricota; Megaviricetes; Algavirales; Phycodnaviridae.
GCUCGCGUAACUCAGUUGGUUAGAGUGUUGGUCUUAUGAGCCAAAAGUCCGCGGUUCGAGCCCGCGCGUGAGCA